AAAACGGCUCUUUUCAGGGCCAAUAUUACAAUUAAAGAGUUGU
Molecule: non-coding RNA, 43 nt
Organism: Aedes aegypti (yellow fever mosquito)
Lineage: Eukaryota; Metazoa; Arthropoda; Insecta; Diptera; Culicidae
Source: Rfam